RNAcentral lists this ribosomal RNA (265 nucleotides) under uncultured archaeon. Its description in RNAcentral is "partial 16S ribosomal RNA". It matches the Rfam family "Archaeal small subunit ribosomal RNA", at positions 717 to 982 of the family's 1478-position model. The record is from RNAcentral.
ACACGACUACAUUAGAUACCCGGGUAGUCCUAGCCGUAAACGAUACUCGCUAGGUGUCGGCCACGGUGCGACCGUUGUCGGUGCCGUAGGGAAGCCGUGAAGCGAGCCACCUGGGAAGUACGGCCGCAAGGCUGAAACUUAAAGGAAUUGGCGGGGGAGCACAACAACGGGUGGAGCUUGCGGUUUAAUUGGAUUCGACGCCGGAAAUCUUACCGGGACCGACAGCAACAUGAAGGCCAAGCUGAAGACCUUGCCGGAUUAGCUG